AUCACCUGGGGAUCUCAUUAAAAUGCAAAUUCUGGUUCAGAAGGUUUGGGGUGGGACAAGAUUCUGCUUUUCUAAUUUGUUCUCAGGUGAUGCUAG
Molecule: microRNA precursor, 96 nt
Filed under: Equus caballus (horse)
Lineage: Eukaryota; Metazoa; Chordata; Mammalia; Perissodactyla; Equidae
Description: mir-544 microRNA precursor family
Rfam family: mir-544 microRNA precursor family
Source: Rfam by way of RNAcentral